RNAcentral lists this ribosomal RNA (1017 nucleotides) under uncultured Candidatus Poseidoniales archaeon. RNAcentral describes it as "bacterial SSU rRNA". It matches the Rfam family "Archaeal small subunit ribosomal RNA", at positions 382 to 1401 of the family's 1478-position model. Lineage: Archaea; Methanobacteriati; Thermoplasmatota; Candidatus Poseidoniia; Candidatus Poseidoniales. The record is from RNAcentral.
CAAGGGGCGGGGGUAUUCCCAGUUUUUUCUUGACUCUUCAAAGGUCUGGGAAUAAGGGGUGGGUAAGGACGGUGCCAGCCGCCGCGGUAAUACCGGCGCCUCAAGUUGUAGUCGCUUUUAUUGGGCCUAAAACGUCCGUAGCCGGUCUGGUGCAUUCGUGGGUAAAUCAACCCGCUCAACGGGUUGAAUUCUGCGAGCACGGCCAGACUUGGGACCGGGAGAGGUGUGGGGUACUCUCAGGGUAGGGGUAAAAUCCUGUCAUCCUGAGAGGACCACCUGUUGCGAAGGCGCCACACUAGAACGGAUCCGACGGUCAGGGACGAAACCUAGGGGCACGAACCGGAUUAGAUACCCGGGUAGUCCUAGGUGUAAACGCUGUGGACUUGAUGUUGGGGGCGCUCCGAGCGCUCUCAGUGUCGAAGCGAAGGUGAUAAGUCCACUGCCUGGGGAGUACGGUCGCAAGGCUGAAACUUAAAGGAAUUGGCGGGGGAGCACUGCAACCUGAGGAUUGUGCGGUUUAAUUGGAUUCAACGCCGGAAAACUCACCAUAGCCGACGGACAAAUGAAGGCCAGCGUAACGAGCUUGCUGGAUUGUUCGAGAGGUAUUGCAUGGCCGUCGUCAGUUCGUACCGCAAGGCGUUCUGUUAAGUCAGAUAACGAACGAGACCCUCAUCCCUAUUUGCCAACCAGAUCCCCGGAUCUGACGCACUAUAGGGAGACCGCUGGCGCUAAGUCAGAGGAAGGCGAGGGCAACGGUAGGUCAGUAUGAUCCGAAUGCUAUGGGCUACACGCGCAAUACAAAGGACGGGACAAUGGGCUGCAACUCCGAGAGGUACGACGCUAUCCCGAAACCCGUUCGUAGUUCGGAUUGAGGGCUGUAACUCGCCCUCAUGAAGCUGGAUUAGGUAGUAAUCGCGUCUCAAUAGGGCGCGGUGAAUAUGCCCCUGCUCCUUGCACACACCGCCCGUCAAACCAUCUUAGUUGGGGGUGGGUGAGGCUACCUUAACCCAUGGGGUA